This 160-nucleotide non-coding RNA is filed under the name Prosthecodimorpha hirschii. RNAcentral describes it as "Prosthecomicrobium hirschii Bacterial large subunit ribosomal RNA". It matches the Rfam family "Bacterial large subunit ribosomal RNA", at positions 2473 to 2632 of the family's 2925-position model. The record is from Rfam by way of RNAcentral. Lineage: Bacteria; Pseudomonadati; Pseudomonadota; Alphaproteobacteria; Hyphomicrobiales; Ancalomicrobiaceae.
GAUAACAGGCUGAUCUUCCCCAAGAGUCCAUAUCGACGGGAAGGUUUGGCACCUCGAUGUCGACUCAUCACAUCCUGGGGCUGGAGCAGGUCCCAAGGGUUCGGCUGUUCGCCGAUUAAAGUGGUACGUGAGUUGGGUUCAGAACGUCGUGAGACAGUUC